This 253-nucleotide ribosomal RNA is filed under the name uncultured bacterium. RNAcentral's name for it is "partial 16S ribosomal RNA". It matches the Rfam family "Bacterial small subunit ribosomal RNA", at positions 524 to 776 of the family's 1533-position model. The record is from RNAcentral.
UACGAAGGGGGCAAGCGUUGUUCGGAAUCACUGGGCGUAAAGCGCACGCAGGCGGAUCGAUAAGUCGGGGGUGAAAUCCCGGGGCUCAACCUCGGAAUUGCCUUCGAUACUGUCGGUCUCGAGUCCGGGAGAGGUGAGUGGAAUUCCUAGUGUAGAGGUGAAAUUCGUAGAUAUUAGGAAGAACACCAGUGGCGAAGGCGGCUCACUGGCCCGGUACUGACGCUCAGGUGCGAAAGCUUGGGGAGCAAACAGG